CAAUAUUAAUCUUACAGAGAGCCCUAUACCUUCACGUCUUUCUCCCUCCGGCUAUAAAUAUACCUCUAUUCCCAAAGGCCGCUACACUCACCCACGCAGACACACGCCGGAAACUAAUAAACAACUGAUCGACCGGCCGCCGUUGCUUGCCCUGCAGGAUGAGUUCGAAUAGCAAGCGUGACUCCAAGAAGCUAUUGAAUCCCAUCAGAGAAAGCCUGAGCUAUGGGAGUUAUUUUGGCACUUCAUCAACAAGUGGUUCUUCUUCUUCAUCAUCUGCCACUGCCAAGAACACUUCAUCGAAUGCGAAUGGCUCAACCUCAACCUCAACCUCAACCCCAGCAGGGAGCUAGCCUCACCACCGACAAGAUCAAUAUCCUCCGAAAAAACAUGGUCUAUCAACGUAUUCCGCUGCCGCCGCCGCCUGGCAAGACCAUGAAAAUCUGAAAAUCAUAGUUCUUAAACCUCUUCGUCCGUACCAGUCAUUUCAACUUUCCCUUCACUCCUUUGUCUCUUAAAACUCUAUGUGUGUCUUUCCAGUACUUGGUAGAAUGAUAUUAAUAAGGGAAAGUGGUCUCUGUUUCCAGUGUUUAGCUGGAUGCUAGUUAUCAAUAAAUUAGUGGUUUCUUGUUCUGUUUCACUGUUUGUAAGCCGAUCUUGUAAUUUAAUAAGCUUUUAUCAA
This is a long non-coding RNA of Prosopis cineraria, 679 nucleotides long. RefSeq lists it as uncharacterized. The transcript is spliced from 2 exons. The record is from RefSeq and is a predicted model, not a curated record. Lineage: Eukaryota; Viridiplantae; Streptophyta; Magnoliopsida; Fabales; Fabaceae.